This 248-nucleotide long non-coding RNA is filed under the name Gossypium raimondii (Peruvian cotton). RNAcentral's name for it is "long non-coding RNA (GRAI_LNC002503)". Lineage: Eukaryota; Viridiplantae; Streptophyta; Magnoliopsida; Malvales; Malvaceae. The record is from RNAcentral.
UUUGAAUCUUGGUUGUGGCAUGUAUUUCUAGGAUGUUUGAAUGUGAGUCUAAUGUUUAUAAGUGUUUUAGCAUAUGUAUAAAAAGGUAUAAAUGCCAAUGUUGAGUUUUGGUAGCUUGUGAUGAUCUUUGUAUAUGAUGACUUGAAUAAGGUUAUAGCUUGAAAUUAGGUAAAUGUAUGAAUUGAAAUGUGUGGUAAUUGGUUGAAAUGAUAAUAGCAUGAAAGUGAUUAGGGUUUAGUAGUUUUGGG